UACGAAGGGGGCUAGCGUUGCUCGGAAUUACUGGGCGUAAAGCGCACGUAGGCGGCUUUCUAAGUCGGGGGUGAAAUCCUGGAGCUCAACUCCAGAACUGCCUUCGAUACUGGAAAGCUCGAGUCCGGGAGAGGUGAGUGGAACUGCGAGUGUAGAGGUGAAAUUCGUAGAUAUUCGCAAGAACACCAGUGGCGAAGGCGGCUCACUGGCCCGGUACUGACGCUGAGGUGCGAAAGCAUGGGGAGCGAACAGG
This 253-nucleotide ribosomal RNA is filed under the name uncultured bacterium. RNAcentral's name for it is "partial 16S ribosomal RNA". It matches the Rfam family "Bacterial small subunit ribosomal RNA", at positions 524 to 776 of the family's 1533-position model. The record is from RNAcentral.